Molecule: long non-coding RNA, 673 nt
Organism: Cucumis melo (muskmelon)
Lineage: Eukaryota; Viridiplantae; Streptophyta; Magnoliopsida; Cucurbitales; Cucurbitaceae
Exons: 2
Source: RefSeq, a predicted model, not a curated record
UUGUCUCUCUUAUCUCUUGCCUAAUUUGUCCUUUCUUCCAAUGGUUCUCUUUCGCUUUUAUUCUUCUUCAUCGAUUUCAUAUCUGUAGAAACCAGAUCUCUUUCCAUACUCCUCUUGCAUGUUUGAUUUUCUUGCCACUCAUUCUUUCCCUUGCGCUCAUUCUUCAGUUUUUCACUCCAUUUGCUUUCAUUAUUCUUCUAACCCUUUACAGAUCUAUAGAUCUAUGUGAUUGUGGUUGGCAGGCGAUCUUGUUUGAAGUGUAUGAUAGGGGCUGAAGGACAGAGCAUGGUAGGGAGGAGGCCAUAGGAUUUGAGAAAGCGGAGCAAAUGAUGUUCUUGAAGUUGGAGUUUUGGAAGAAAGCUUGUAUCUUCAAACGAGCUUCAAUCUUUGAGAGUGAUCGACUUUAGGAGUUGGGAGUCUUCUAGCUCUUGGAAGAAUUCUCUCUAGACCUUUUGGAGUCCAAAAAAUUUUGUCCCUACAAAUGAAGAGAACUCCUCUAUUUAUAGAGUUCCUUAAUGGGUUUUUAUGGACUUGGGCCUAGUGUGGUCCAUGGACCAUACCCGUGGGCUCAAUCACAUAGAUUUAGGUCAUAUUUAAUUUUGGGCUAAAUUAAGCUCAUUUUUGGACUCAAUUGAAUUUUAAGCCAAGUAAAUAAUAUUUAAUUAAACCAAAA